CAGGGAGACAAAAACUGAUUAUUGAUGUCUGAAUAAUUAUUUUCAGGCCAUAAUCCUGUCACCUUAGGUCGAUCGGUACCUCAGAUUAAAGAUCUAUAAAAUGAGAAAUCAAUUUUAAAUAUUGUCUUUAAUUUCAGUUCCUAAACUUGUCUAGGUCACACCCAACAAACUUUCUCCUGGGCUAUUAGCUCAGGCGGUUGGAGCGCACCCCUGAUAAGGGUGAGGUCCCUGGUUCAAGUCCAGGAUGGCCCAUUCGUUGUUGGGGGUAUAGCUCAGUUGGUAGAGCGCCUGCUUUGCAAGCAGGAUGUCGGCGGUUCGAGUCCGCUUACCUCCACUGAACCCACCCUGAUAACAAAAAGGCAGGAGAUUUGUUGACGUGACUUGGAUUUGUCUAUCUGAUAAGAACCUAGCUUCUUAUCAUCUUCAAACUAAAACGAAGUUGGUAAUAUGCUGGGCUCUCAUGGAAUUUUCCAUGUGAUUUCAGUAGAACCUUGAAAACUGCAUAGAUGGAAAGAAUAAAGCAUCUCAUGGAUGCAUAAUUCUGAAUUAAAUAAUUUAGUUUUAAUUUAAAUUAUUUAUUUUUUGAAUUCAUGUUUAAUUCUUGAGUAAAAGCCGAGCACAAUUGAUUUUGUGAUUGUAUUUAA
RNAcentral lists this transfer RNA (644 nucleotides) under uncultured cyanobacterium. RNAcentral's name for it is "partial miscellaneous RNA". The stretch from base 262 to 334 matches the Rfam family "tRNA". The record is from RNAcentral. Lineage: Bacteria; Bacillati; Cyanobacteriota.